UAGGGAAUCUUCGGCAAUGGACGGAAGUCUGACCGAGCAACGCCGCGUGAGUGAGGAAGGUUUUGGGAUCGUAAAGCUCUGUUGUUGGAGAAGAACGGUGGUAGGAGGGGAAAAUCUACCAAGUGACGUUAACUAACCAGAAAGGGACGGCGAACGAGGUGCCAGCAGCGGCGGUAAUACGUAGGUCACGAGCGUUGUCCGGAUUUAUUGGGCGUAAAGCGAGCGCAGGCGGUUCUUUAAGUCUGAAGUUAAAGGCAAUGGCUUAACCAUUGUACGCUUUGGAAAAUGGAGGACUUGAGUGCAGAAGGGGAUAGUUGAAUUCCAUGUGUAGCGGUUAAAUGACUAGAUAUAUCGAGGAACACCGGUUGUGAAAGCGGAGCUAUGGUCCGUAACUGACGCUGGGGCUCGCAAGCGUGGGGAGCAAACAGG
RNAcentral lists this ribosomal RNA (429 nucleotides) under Bacillota bacterium. Its description in RNAcentral is "Firmicutes bacterium partial 16S ribosomal RNA". It matches the Rfam family "Bacterial small subunit ribosomal RNA", at positions 355 to 776 of the family's 1533-position model. The record is from RNAcentral. Lineage: Bacteria; Bacillati; Bacillota.